AAAACUUGAGAUGACUCGGCGUUCUUUUUUCACUGGCUGGAAAACAGGCUCAGGAAACCUGGAGACCUUAUGCUGUUUGUUAAGGAUUUGAUUGAGCCAGUUACAAGCCUGUGGAAGAGAGGUUCCAUGGCUAAGGAAAUGAAUCCUGAGAAUGAAAGGAUGUGUUGGAGGGGUUGGCACUGGCUUACAAACUAUCUGGUGCUAAAGGAGAAACUCCAACCUUCACCCUGUUGCAGAGGGGGCAGACAAUGGCACACUUGA
This 261-nucleotide long non-coding RNA is filed under the name Crocodylus porosus (Australian saltwater crocodile). RNAcentral describes it as "lncRNA (ENSCPRG00005005273.1)". Lineage: Eukaryota; Metazoa; Chordata; Crocodylia; Crocodylidae. The record is from RNAcentral.